This is a non-coding RNA of Pelobates cultripes (western spadefoot toad), 2852 nucleotides long. The record is from the annotation of a GenBank genome assembly. NCBI's taxonomy places the organism in Eukaryota, Metazoa, Chordata, Amphibia, Anura, Pelobatidae.
CAGCAGGGAGCAGCGAGCAGGUGGAGGAGCAGGGUGAGUGCUUGCUAAUAUUGUUUCAAAGUGUUUUUUUGUGUAGGGAUCUUGUAGAGGGAGGGGAGGGGAUGGGUACAGGGGGUCUUGUAGAUGGGGGUGUGUAUUCACAUAUACACACAACACAAACCCUACUGUGGCACAAUGACUUAUAGGGUUGGCAUACAUAUUUCAUAAAUAUAUAUUUAUGAAUUAGAAUUAGUCAAUCUGGAAUAUUUAACACUAUCACUAAAAUAUAUAUAAAUAUAUAUACUUUUAUUAUUGGUAUGUUCUUUUUUUAAUUAUAAAUAUUAGUCCUUUCAUGGUAAAAACUUAAUAAUAAUACAGUAAGCAUACUCAUACGCAGGCACAGACAAUCUCAUUGACACAAGCACACAAGUUCACAGACAGGCAAUCUCAGACAUGCUCACUGACACACACAUACAUGUUUACUACAGACAUGCUCACUGACACAUAUAUACAUGCCUAUUACAGACAUGCUCACUGACACACACAUGCUUACCACAGACAUGCUCACUGAAACACACAUACAUGCUUACUACAGACAUGCUCACUGACACACACACAUGCAUGCUUAUUACAGAUAUGCUCACUGACAAACACAUACAUACUUACCACAGACAUGCUCACUUACACACAUAUACAUGCUUACUACAGACAUGCUCACUGACACACACAUACCUGCAUAAUGCAGGUAUACUCACUGACACACACAUACAUGCUUAAUGCAGAAAUGCUCACCGACACACACAUACAUGCUUACUACAGACAUGCUCACUGACACACAUAUACAUGCUCACUACAGACAUGCUCACUGACACACACACAUGCUCACAACAGCAGGCAGACACACCCACACACAAGAUCACUCUCACUCACUAGCUGCAGUGCAUUUGAAGUCUACCUGGCAUUGCAGGCUGCUGCUGUGGAAGCCCGGGGAGUUGAGAACUUAAUUUCCUGCACUCUUUCUGCCCUGAAGUCAGCAGCUUGAGAUCGGGGGUGGAGCUUGAGAUCGGGGGCGGAGCUUGAGAUCGGGGCAGAGCUUGGGUUCCAGAAAGCUCCCUCCCUGUAGUGCUCCUUCCGGCUGCCGCAUUCUCAAUGCGGGCGCACCGGCCCCAAGCCCCACCCUCCAUAAUAAGGUAUUAGGGCACUCUCCACCGGCCCCAAGUGCUGCAGCCCACCGGAAAAUUUCCCGGUAUCCCGGUGGGCCAGUCUGGCCCUGGAGGAGGGCAGGGUUUUUUGUGAAUGGAGAAUGCAGGGGGAUUGUAGGUGGGCAGGGGAUUUUUAGGGGGGUGCAGGGGAUUUGUAAAAGGAGGACAGGGCAGGGGUUUUUGUAGAAGGGGGUUGUAGGAGGGGGACUCGACAGGGGUUUUUGUAGAUGAGAGGGUGCAAAGUUUUUGUAGAGGGGGCAGGGGUUUGUAGAAAGGGGAUUUUGUAAAAGAAGGACUGGGCAGGGGUUUUGUAGAGGGGAGCAGGGAAUUUUUAAAAGGGAGACUGGGCAGGGGCUUUGUAGAAGGGGAGUCUUGACGGGGGCUGGGCAGGGGAUUUGUAGAGGGGGUACAGUUUUUUUUGUAGAGGAAUAGGUGCAGGUUUUUUUUAUAGGGGAGUAGGGGAUUUUUAAAAGGGAGACUGGGCAAAGGCUUUGUAGAUGGGGUGUCUAGAAGGGGGACUGAGCAUGGGAUUUGUAGAGGGGGUGCAGGUUUUUUGUAGAGGAGGGAGUGCAGGGUUUUUGUGGAGGAGGCAAGAGUUUUGUAGAAAGGGGGGGCUUGUAGAAGUGAGACUGGGCAGGUUUUUUGUAGAGGGGGUGCAGGGUUGUUGUAGAGGGUGAUGCAGGGUUUUUGUAGAAGGUGGACUGGGCAGGUGUUUUGUAGAAGACAAUAAAUAAAAAAAAACAUUAGAAAUAAUUUUUUUAAAACAUUUUUUAUGAGGGGGAGGGAUGGGGGCAAACACAGGAUCCACCAUGAGUGCCAAAUGCUGUAGGUAAGCUCCCUAAUGUAUAUACUGAAAAGGAAUACAAUGUCAAUAUUAUGCAAUUUGAUAUAACAUUUGAAAAGUAGUAUUGAUGUACGAUGCUAUGUAUAACCAAAUUUCAUGUCAAUGCGUGAAUAAAUGCAUGUUGCAAGAUGGUAUUGAAACCUCCCCCUAAAAUCCCCCAAUAUUAAAUUACCUUUAUGUAUAAAGUCAAAUAUACAAGCGGAAAGAUAGAAUAGUCUACCGUUUAGUUUGCAACAGCAUCUUUAUUUCUUCAUCCGUAGCUUUAUAUUCAUUAUUUCGAUGCACAUCCAUAGAACAGGGCUAAUGAUGUAAUCAACAACAUCCUGUUCUGCAUAAAUUAAUUAGACAGGUGCUGAUACUUCAAACAUCUAAUUGUAUAAAACAUUACAAUUAUAUGCUAUUACUUUGUCAUUUUUUUUAAAGUACGUUUUUAAUAUGUAACAUACACAUAAGUGAUGCGGAUUUAGCUAAUUAUUUAUAAUUAAUGGACUGUUCAUUUAUUUUUGUUUUUACACAAAGUGAAAUGAUUUUUAUUUGCUAACAGCUUGGCUACUGUAUGAAGCUCUGAUGUUGUACAUGUUGAUGCUUCUAUGGAGCUGGAGAUAUACAGAACAUUUAAAGCUAUAGAGACUAGACUGAAGAACAAGUGAUUGAGCCCUCUGUCCCAAAGUCCAUUGCACAUUGUGACAAUUAUCCCUUGAACACCCUACUAAAAAAAUAACAGUUGUAAUAGUGUUUAUAUAAGAAGAUAAUAUGUUGUAAAAUAUUUCCAGAACAUUCUGUUUUGUAAUUACGUUUAAUGCCACAGACUAAGGCCUUGAUUUAAU